RNAcentral lists this ribosomal RNA (468 nucleotides) under uncultured bacterium. RNAcentral describes it as "partial 16S ribosomal RNA". It matches the Rfam family "Bacterial small subunit ribosomal RNA", at positions 28 to 507 of the family's 1533-position model. The record is from RNAcentral.
GACGAACGCUGGCGGCGUGCUUAACACAUGCAAGUCGAACGGAAAGGCCCUGCUUUUGUGGGGUGCUCGAGUGGCGAACGGGUGAGUAACACGUGAGUAACCUGCCCCUGACUUUGGGAUAACUUCAGGAAACUGGGGCUAAUACCGGAUAGGAGCUCCUGCUGCAUGGUGGGGGUUGGAAAGUUUCGGCGGUUGGGGAUGGACUCGCGGCUUAUCAGCUUGUUGGUGGGGUAGUGGCUUACCAAGGCUUUGACGGGUAGCCGGCCUGAGAGGGUGACCGGCCACAUUGGGACUGAGAUACGGCCCAGACUCCUACGGGAGGCAGCAGUGGGGAAUAUUGCACAAUGGGCGGAAGCCUGAUGCAGCAACGCCGCGUGCGGGAUGACGGCCUUCGGGUUGUAAACCGCUUUCGCCUGUGACGAAGCGUGAGUGACGGUAGUGGGUAAAGAAGCACCGGCUAACUACGUG